UGGAUAGAGAGGAGAAAACCUGUGGUGGAUGUGAAGGCCCUGGUGCCAUGUAUGUCAAAUUGAUAUCAUCUGAUGGCCAUGAAUUUAUUGUAAAAGGAGAACAUGCAUUAACAUCAGGCACGAUAAAAGCCAUGUUGAGUGGCCCAGGUCAAUUUGCUGAGAACGAAACCAAUGAGGUCAAUUUUAGAGAGAUACCUUCAAAUGUGAUAUCAAAAGUGUGCAUGUAUUU
RNAcentral lists this long non-coding RNA (229 nucleotides) under Homo sapiens (human). RNAcentral describes it as "non-protein coding lnc-TGIF1-16:1". Lineage: Eukaryota; Metazoa; Chordata; Mammalia; Primates; Hominidae. The record is from RNAcentral.